RNAcentral lists this ribosomal RNA (2389 nucleotides) under Listeria monocytogenes. Its description in RNAcentral is "partial 23S ribosomal RNA". It matches the Rfam family "Bacterial large subunit ribosomal RNA", at positions 1 to 2382 of the family's 2925-position model. The record is from RNAcentral. Lineage: Bacteria; Bacillati; Bacillota; Bacilli; Caryophanales; Listeriaceae.
GGUUAAGUUAGAAAGGGCGCACGGUGGAUGCCUUGGCACUAGGAGCCGAAGAAGGACGGGACUAACACCGAUAUGCUUUGGGGAGCUGUACGUAAGCGUUGAUCCAGAGAUUUCCGAAUGGGGGAACCCACUAUCUUUAGUCGGAUAGUAUCCUUACGUGAAUACAUAGCGUGAGGAAGGCAGACCCAGGGAACUGAAACAUCUAAGUACCUGGAGGAAGAGAAAGAAAAAUCGAUUUCCUGAGUAGCGGCGAGCGAAACGGAAAGAGCCCAAACCAAGAAGCUUGCUUCUUGGGGUUGUAGGACACUCUAUACGGAGUUACAAAAGAAAGUUAUAAAUGAAGCGGUCUGGAAAGGCCCGCCAAAGACGGUAACAGCCCGGUAGUUGAAAUGGCUUUCCCUCCAGAGUGGAUCCUGAGUACGGCGGAACACGUGAAAUUCCGUCGGAAUCCGGGAGGACCAUCUCCCAAGGCUAAAUACUCCCUAGUGACCGAUAGUGAACCAGUACCGUGAGGGAAAGGUGAAAAGCACCCCGGAAGGGGAGUGAAACAGUUCCUGAAACCGUGUGCCUACAAGUAGUUAGAGCCCGUUAAUGGGUGAUAGCGUGCCUUUUGUAGAAUGAACCGGCGAGUUACGAUUUGUUGCAAGGUUAAGCGGAAAAAGCGGAGCCGUAGCGAAAGCGAGUCUGAAUAGGGCGCAUAAGUAACAGGUCGUAGACCCGAAACCAGGUGAUCUACCCAUGUCCAGGAUGAAGGUAAGGUAAUACUUACUGGAGGUCCGAACCCACGCACGUUGAAAAGUGCGGGGAUGAGGUGUGGGUAGCGGAGAAAUUCCAAUCGAACUUGGAGAUAGCUGGUUCUCUCCGAAAUAGCUUUAGGGCUAGCCUCGAGGUAAAGAGUCAUGGAGGUAGAGCACUGUUUGGACUAGGGGCCCUUCUCGGGUUACCGAAUUCAGAUAAACUCCGAAUGCCAUGUACUUAUACUCGGGAGUCAGACUGCGAGUGAUAAGAUCCGUAGUCGAAAGGGAAACAGCCCAGACCACCAGUUAAGGUCCCCAAAUAUAUGUUAAGUGGAAAAGGAUGUGGGGUUGCUUAGACAACCAGGAUGUUGGCUUAGAAGCAGCCACCAUUGAAAGAGUGCGUAAUAGCUCACUGGUCGAGUGACCCCGCGCCGAAAAUGUACCGGGGCUAAACAUAUUACCGAAACUGUGGAUGAACCUCUUUAGAGGUUCGUGGUAGGAGAGCGUUCUAAGGGCGGUGAAGUCAGACCGGAAGGACUGGUGGAGCGCUUAGAAGUGAGAAUGCCGGUAUGAGUAGCGAAAGAAGGGUGAGAAUCCCUUCCACCGAAUAUCUAAGGUUUCCUGAGGAAGGCUCGUCCGCUCAGGGUUAGUCGGGACCUAAGCCGAGGCCGAUAGGCGUAGGCGAUGGACAACAGGUAGAGAUUCCUGUACCAGUGCUAAUUGUUUAACCGAUGGGGUGACACAGAAGGAUAGGGAAUCGCACGAAUGGAAAUGUGCGUCCAAGCAGUGAGUGUGAGAAGUAGGCAAAUCCGCUUCUCGCGAAGCAUGAGCUGUGAUGGGGAAGGAAAUUAAGUACGGAAGUUCCUGAUUUCACGCUGUCAAGAAAAGCCUCUAGGAAGAGUAGUACUGCCCGUACCGCAAACCGACACAGGUAGAUGAGGAGAGAAUCCUAAGGUGAGCGAGAGAACUCUCGUUAAGGAACUCGGCAAAAUGACCCCGUAACUUCGGGAGAAGGGGUGCUCUAUUAGGGUGCAAGCCCGAGAGAGCCGCAGUGAAUAGGCCCAGGCGACUGUUUAGCAAAAACACAGGUCUCUGCAAAACCGUAAGGUGACGUAUAGGGGCUGACGCCUGCCCGGUGCUGGAAGGUUAAGAGGAGUGCUUAGCUUCGGCGAAGGUACGAAUUGAAGCCCCAGUAAACGGCGGCCGUAACUAUAACGGUCCUAAGGUAGCGAAAUUCCUUGUCGGGUAAGUUCCGACCCGCACGAAAGGCGCAACGAUCUGGGCACUGUCUCAACGAGAGACUCGGUGAAAUUAUAGUACCUGUGAAGAUGCAGGUUACCCGCGACAGGACGGAAAGACCCCGUGGAGCUUUACUGCAACCUGAUAUGGAAUGUUUGUACCGCUUGUACAGGAUAGGUAGGAGCCGAAGAGACGUGUGCGCUAGCAUACGAGGAGGCAAUGGUGGGAUACUACCCUGGCUGUAUGACCAUUCUAACCCGCCACGCUUAGCGCGUGGGGAGACAGUGUCAGGUGGGCAGUUUGACUGGGGCGGUCGCCUCCUAAAGAGUAACGGAGGCGCCCAAAGGUUCCCUCAGAAUGGAUGGAAAUCAUUCGCAGAGUGUAAAGGCACAAGGGAGCUUGACUGCGAGACU